AUUGAACGCUGGCGGCAUGCCUUACACAUGCAAGUCGAACGGCAGCACGGGAGCUUGCUCCUGGUGGCGAGUGGCGAACGGGUGAGUAAUACAUCGGAACGUACCCAGUAGUGGGGGAUAACGCACCGAAAGGUGCGCUAAUACCGCAUACGACCUAAGGGUGAAAGCGGGGGACCGCAAGGCCUCGCGCUAUUGGAGCGGCCGAUGUCUGAUUAGCUAGUUGGCGGGGUAAAGGCCCACCAAGGCGACGAUCAGUAGCUGGUCUGAGAGGACGAUCAGCCACACUGGGACUGAGACACGGCCCAGACUCCUACGGGAGGCAGCAGUGGGGAAUUUUGGACAAUGGGGGCAACCCUGAUCCAGCAAUGCCGCGUGUGCGAAGAAGGCCUUCAGGUUGUAAAGCACUUUUGUCAGGGAAGAAAUCUUUCAGGCUAAUACCCUUGGAAGGAUGACGGUACCUGAAGAAUAAGCACCGGCUAACUACGUGCCAGCAGCCGCCGUAA
This 503-nucleotide ribosomal RNA is filed under the name uncultured bacterium. RNAcentral describes it as "partial 16S ribosomal RNA". It matches the Rfam family "Bacterial small subunit ribosomal RNA", at positions 30 to 523 of the family's 1533-position model. The record is from RNAcentral.